GAUGAACGCUGGCGGCGUGCCUAAUACAUGCAAGUCGAGCGAACAGACGAGGAGCUUGCUCCUCUGACGUUAGCGGCGGACGGGUGAGUAACACGUGGAUAACCUACCUAUAAGACUGGGAUAACUUCGGGAAACCGGAGCUAAUACCGGAUAAUAUAUUGAACCGCAUGGUUCAAUAGUGAAAGACGGUUUUGCUGUCACUUAUAGAUGGAUCCGCGCCGCAUUAGCUAGUUGGUAAGGUAACGGCUUACCAAGGCAACGAUGCGUAGCCGACCUGAGAGAGGGAUCGGCCACACUGGAACUGAGACACGGACCAGACUCCUACGGGAGGCAGCAGUAGGGAAUCUUACGCAAUAGUCGAAAGCCUGACGGAGCAACGCCGCGUGAGUGAUGAAGGUCUUCUGAUCGUAAAGCUCUGUUAUUAGGUAAGAACAAAUGUGUAAGUAACUAUGCACGUCUUGACGGUACCUAAUCAGAAAGCCACGGCUAACUACGUG
Molecule: ribosomal RNA, 497 nt
Filed under: uncultured bacterium
Lineage: Bacteria
Description: partial 16S ribosomal RNA
Rfam family: Bacterial small subunit ribosomal RNA
Source: RNAcentral